RNAcentral lists this ribosomal RNA (499 nucleotides) under uncultured bacterium. RNAcentral's name for it is "bacterial SSU rRNA". It matches the Rfam family "Bacterial small subunit ribosomal RNA", at positions 899 to 1397 of the family's 1533-position model. The record is from RNAcentral.
ACUCAAAUGAAUUGACGGGGGCCCGCACAAGCGGUGGAGCAUGUGGUUUAAUUCGAUGCAACGCGAAGAACCUUACCAGGUCUUGACAUCUGGCGAACCCUGUGGAAACAUGGGGGUGCCUUUUAGGAGCGCCAAGACAGGUGGUGCAUGGUUGUCGUCAGCUCGUGUCGUGAGAUGUUGGGUUAAGUCCCGCAACGAGCGCAACCCCUGCUAUUAGUUGCUAACAUUUCGGAUGAGCACUCUAAUGGGACCGCCCGUUACAAGCGGGAGGAAGGUGGGGACGACGUCAAAUCAUCAUGCCCUUUAUGAUCUGGGCUACACACGUGCUACAAUGGAUGGUACAGAGAGCAGCGAAGCUGUGAAGUGAAGCGAAUCUCACAAAGCCAUUCUCAGUUCGGAUUGUAGUCUGCAACUCGACUACAUGAAGUCGGAAUCGCUAGUAAUCGCGAAUCAGAAUGUCGCGGUGAAUGCGUUCCCGGGCCUUGUACACACCGCCCGU